AGACUUGGGGUUUACCCAUAACUGACAAUUAUACAAUUUAUUUUUUUCUUCAUUUACAUUAGCUUUCUCUAGGUUUGUGCUGUAGACUAGGACACAGCACCAGAAGAUGGAAUCUAUGAGUAUAUUAACACUGCCAAAUGGUUAGAAAUACACACCCUAAGAAUUCUUCCUUUCACUUUUAUUUUACAAUUGCUAUUUCAUUCCUUUCUUUAAGUAUUUGAGUUUGUCAUUUUCUAGGGAAGGAAACAAACAAUAACAGCUGAUAACACUAAACUGCUGCAACCUGUAAAUUCCUACUUACUGUGAGCUCUGCACAUAGCAACAUAGUCUGUAUUAGUAACCUAGAACUGUGCACAACAAACCCAACUUACAGCUAACUCAGUGUCAUUUUGCUACAUAUUUUAAUGUGCUUUAAUACUAUGUCCCAUAUAAAGAUUAAGUUCAUAUCAUUCUGAAUUCCUACAUUUCAUUGUAUUGGAUGUGUAGACACAGAUUUCAGUAAUCUCAUAUUUAACAGGGAUUUCUGUAGAACACCACUAGAUGUCAAUAUUCUUGGUAAAAUGGUAACAGUUCAAGGAUUUAGGCACUGGAUCCUGCCACCCUUACUCAAACAGUCCUACUGUAUUCAGUAACAGUAGAACUACUCCUGUGAGCAAGGUCCCAUAAUUGUCCUUUUUUCCUUACACAGGUCACAAAUGUUGUGAAAAAUAGGCUUCGUUACGUAUUAAAGCAUAGAAGCAUUUUGUGUUUACAUGUGCCCAUCUACUAUGGAAUGAAAUACUUGUAAAACUGUUUUAUUUGGAUUUUUAUUUCUAUUUACACUUAUUUCAAUAGGCUGAGUCUGCUCUAAUUUAGGCCAGAGCUCAUAUUGGCCCCUUUAAUCCUGGGGCUUAAAGGAGAUGGAGAGGGGUAAUAACACCACUGUUGCCCCCUACCUUUCAAAAGGGCUGAAUUUAGGUUAGGCACAUUUGAAGGUUGAGUCCUAAAUGUGGAAUUGCUGAAUACAAAAUCAACAGUUUGUCUUCCUUCAGAUUGUGACAGGGCUGCAUGCCCAACCAGUUGCUGAUAUUCCAAGUACCACAGCAGUGAAUGCCACCAUUUCAGAAAGCAGAACACUGUUCUUCAGUUAUAAAACAAUCAUACAAAAUUCAAAGUCGAGAAUACUUCUAUGAGUCACUAAACUUCAAAAUGUUUGUUUAACCUUUCCUAUUGACUAUAAGCUUUAGAAAUUCCACUCCAAAUACAGCUAACUGAAAACAUCAAGAAAUGUGGAAUGUUUGCUGCACAAAUGAAGUGAUUUGGACAGCAUCCAUUUACUGCUUCUCCCAUGGGUUGGCAAAACCAAUAAUACUCAGCAACUGGCAUGUACAAAGUACUACAAACAUUAGCUACUGAAUUCUAACAGCAUUCCUAUGAGUUAAACUUGUAUGGUUAUCCCUGUGUUAGAGGGGAAACUAAGCAGAGAGAUGAAGAGAUUUUCUCAAGGUCACACAAUAGGUCGGUGGUGAAUGAGGAUUAGAAAUUAAGAGGGAAAUCCUGGCCCCGCUGAAGUCAAUAGGACUUUUGCUACUGGGGCCCAGGUUUUACCCAAAGACUUCUUAACUCUAAACCCUCUCCUCAUUUCUCCAACCAUGUUGCUAUUCCUAAAUUAAAAUAUUAUAUAAAAUACAUGCAACUUCUAAAAGUUUAACAUGAUUACUCAGUUUGGCAACAUUGCCCAGCGGGGAACCACAUGAUGCAUCUAAUCCAAAGUGGCAGCAGUCCAUCAUCAUAUGAAAAUACUAACAUAUAGAAGGGAUUUUUCUUUAAAAGAGUGAGAAAGAAGGGAGAACAGUUUCUUAAGUGGAUGUUAGUUUUCUUCACUUGCCUGUUGCCAGUCCAGCUCCAUAGAUUUGUUUUACCUGCCACUUCUAGGAGAGUACUUCAAGGCCAUUAGCAUUCCAGAAAGUUUCAAAUCUUCCCAGAGCAAUGAAAAAUUGUAACUUCUACAGUAAGGCCAUGUCUACAUUGCAUAUAGCUGACGCAGACUAUCGGUUGUGUGCAUGCAUAUUUGGCUCCUUGUGUCAGUAGGGCACAUACUCACCAGGAGUGCUUGUAUUGAUGCAGAGUGCAGUGCACAAUGGAUAGGUAUGCAACUCAUCAUCAUCCAGCGCUCUGUCUUUUGGGAAGUUUUGGCAAUGUGUGAUGCGGCUGAAAUAUGUUGUAGACAGUUGACUGGGAGCAUGGAGUCAACUUCCCAGUUUGCAACUGUAUCCUUCCCAUAAUGUCAUCUAUAUCCCAUAAUUUUCAUACCUUUUUUUUAAAAUCCAAAACCUGCAUGGCUUUCCUUACUGUCCAUCAUCUCUGACAGAAGCAGGGAGCCUGCAAAGCUCUGCACUAUUGGCAUGAGUGUUGCAAGCACAAGGCACAUGAUUCUGGAGUAUGUGCAGAGGAGUGGGGAGCAUGAUGAUCCCUUAGAGGACAACUUGCUGAGGGAUAUAGUGAAAACCAAUUCAAAGUUGUUGGUGGAAUUCACUAGGCAGCUGCAGAUGGUGGAGCACCAUUUCUGGGCCCAAGAAUCAAGCACUGACUGAUGGAAUCAAAUCGUCAUGCAGGUUUGAGAUGAAGGGCAGUGGCUGUAGAACUUUUGGAUGCACAAGGUCACAUUCCUGGAUCUGUGUGCCAACCUCACCGCAGACCUCCAGCUCAGGGACACCAAAUGAAAGGUACACUGACAAAUGAGUGGCAAUAGCACUGUGGAAAUCUACAAUGCCAAAGAAUCCAUUUGGAGUUGGGAAAUCCAUUGCAGGGGCCAUUAUCAUGCAAGUGUGCUGGGCCAUUAAUCGCCUCCUGUUAUGCAGGUUUGUGACUCCUGGAAAUGGGAAGGACAUAGUGGAUGGAUUUGCAGCCAUGGGGGUUUCUGAACUACGGGGAGAGUGAUAGAUGACAUGUAUGUCCAUAUUUUGGCAUCAGAAACAACUUGCCACAGACCACAUCAACAGAAAAGGCUACUUUUCUGUGGUUAUGCAAGCGCUGGUGGAACACCAGGGAUGCUUCAUCGACAUCAGUGUUGGCAGGUCAGGGAAAGUGCAUGACACUCCCAUCUUUAAGAACACAGGACUGUUCAGAAAACUGCGAGCAGGGACUUUCUUUCCCGACUGGCAUAUUACCAUUAGCAAUGUUGAAAUGCCAGUACUGAUCCUGGGGGACCAGCCUGUGGGAGAGAGAG
Molecule: long non-coding RNA, 3208 nt
Organism: Dermochelys coriacea (leatherback sea turtle)
Lineage: Eukaryota; Metazoa; Chordata; Testudines; Dermochelyidae
Exons: 3
Source: RefSeq, a predicted model, not a curated record